AGCCCUAAGUGGGUGGUAAACUCCAUCUAAGGCUAAAUAUAACCACGAGACCGAUAGCGAACAAGUACCGUGAGGGAAAGUUGAAAAGCACUUUGAAGAGAGAGUUCAAGAGUACGUGAAACCGUUUAGGGGUAAACCUGAGAAACCCGAAAGGUCGAAGGGAGAAAUUCAUUCGUGUUUCGCGAUCGGCUUUAGGUUCGCGUGCGACGGAGGGCGUUCGCGCUCUUCCGCGCCACGGGCUUAACGAUCCGGCUGCGAACGCGUGCACUUUUCUCCUGGUAGGACGUCGCGAUCCGUUGAGUGUCGGUCUACGGCUGACGGUGGAGCCCGGAAGUACGGUUCGCGCCGUUGCUUCCGGACCCGUCUGUUUCCCGGCCGGCUCGCUCGACGGUACGCUAACGGUUUUAGGCCGCUCCCUUUGCGAGCGUUCGGCUCGCGGCAAGCGCGCCAUUCGUUGUCGGUGCGCGGACCUAGCGCCGCGCCUGACCUUUGGUGACUGUUGGCCGCGAAGUUCUCGAACAGACCUUUUACCGAUCUGCGACGCUAUAGCUUUGGGUACUUUCAG
RNAcentral lists this ribosomal RNA (565 nucleotides) under Tasactes sp. CNCCOLVG00001171. RNAcentral's name for it is "eukaryotic LSU rRNA". It matches the Rfam family "Eukaryotic large subunit ribosomal RNA", at positions 284 to 645 of the family's 3401-position model. The record is from RNAcentral. RNAcentral also lists the same sequence under 4 other names. Lineage: Eukaryota; Metazoa; Arthropoda; Insecta; Coleoptera; Curculionidae.